GGUUCCGUAGCUCAAUGGUAGGGCGUUGCUUUCCGGUUUCAAUCACGAGUAGUUGUAUUGUCCAGUUGGCAAAGGUUCUGGGUUCGAGUCCCAGCGGGAUCG
Parathielavia appendiculata is the source of this 102-nucleotide non-coding RNA. The record is from the annotation of a RefSeq genome assembly. Lineage: Eukaryota; Fungi; Ascomycota; Sordariomycetes; Sordariales; Chaetomiaceae.